GUGAACGUUGCACAAACUUCAGUAACAACGCGAGGACGAGGUGGUGAGGUACUUUAUACAAUACAAUACUGGCUUAUACAUUUAGAGCCAGAAUUCCUCUUAAAAAACAAUACUCCAGGUAUACCUUGGAUAUAGGAAAUACGAGCAUCUAGGGAAUCAUUGACAGUAAGAGUUAACAUGAUGUUUCUGGUAACUGAUUAUGUUAUGCGAG
Non-coding RNA from Pelobates cultripes (western spadefoot toad), 211 nucleotides. The record is from the annotation of a GenBank genome assembly. NCBI's taxonomy places the organism in Eukaryota, Metazoa, Chordata, Amphibia, Anura, Pelobatidae.